CUACGGGACGCUGCAGUGGGGAAUAUUGCACAAUGGGCGCAAGCCUGAUGCAGCCAUGCCGCGUGUAUGAAGAAGGCCUUCGGGUUGUAAAGUACUUUCAGCGGGGAGGAAGGGAGUAAAGUUAAUACCUUUGCUCAUUGACGUUACCCGCAGAAGAAGCACCGGCUAACUCCGUGCCAGCAGCCGCGAUAAUACGGAGGGUGCAAGCGUUAAUCGGAAUUACUGGGCGUAAAGCGCACGCAGGCGGUUUGUUAAGUCAGAUGUGAAAUCCCCGGGCUCAACCUGGGAACUGCAUCUGAUACUGGCAAGCUUGAGUCUCGUAGAGGGGGGUAGAAUUCCAGGUGUAGCGGUGAAAUGCGUAGAGAUCUGGAGGGAUACCGGUGGCGAAGGCGGCCCCCUGGACGAAGACUGACGCUCAGGUGCGAAAGCGUGGGGAGCAAACAGGAUUAGAUACCCCCGUAGUC
This 464-nucleotide ribosomal RNA is filed under the name uncultured bacterium. RNAcentral's name for it is "partial 16S ribosomal RNA". It matches the Rfam family "Bacterial small subunit ribosomal RNA", at positions 339 to 795 of the family's 1533-position model. The record is from RNAcentral.